AGCGAACGCUGGCGGCGUGCUUAACACAUGCAAGUCGAGGGAGAACGGGUGGCUUCGGCUGCCCUAGUAAACCGGCGCACGGGUGAGUAACACGUAGGUAACCUACCCUCGAGACUGGGAUAACCCAUCGAAAGAUGAGCUAAUACCAGAUAUGACCACGGGAGUUUCGGCUUCUGCGGUGAAAGAUGGCCUCUGCUUGCAAGCUAUCACUCGGGGAUGGGCCUGCGCGCCAUUAGCUAGUUGGUGGGGUAACGGCCCACCAAGGCUACGAUGGCUAGUUGGUCUGAGAGGAUGACCAGCCACACUGGGACUGAGACACGGCCCAGACGUCCUACGGGAGGCAGCAGUGGGGAAUAUUGCGCAAUGGGGAAACCCUGACGCAGCGACGCCGCGUGGGUGAUGAAGGCC
This 408-nucleotide ribosomal RNA is filed under the name uncultured bacterium. RNAcentral's name for it is "bacterial SSU rRNA". It matches the Rfam family "Bacterial small subunit ribosomal RNA", at positions 29 to 416 of the family's 1533-position model. The record is from RNAcentral.